This 618-nucleotide long non-coding RNA is filed under the name Ananas comosus (pineapple). Its description in RNAcentral is "long non-coding RNA (ACOM_LNC020449)". The record is from RNAcentral. Lineage: Eukaryota; Viridiplantae; Streptophyta; Magnoliopsida; Poales; Bromeliaceae.
ACGUCGUCGUGGGAGAAGCAGAGGCGCUGGUCGGCGGCUUCUGCGCGGCGGCGGGAGGAGGGGCAGCGCCGACGGAGAAGAACACGCGCGGCGCUGGUGCCGGCGCCGGUUGCGCUUCCGCCUCCCCCUCCUGCGCCCUGUCGCUUGGCCUCCCCUUCUUCUUCUUCGCCGUUGUCUUCUUCUCCGCAUCCAGCCCGACCCCGUUCGCCGCGGCCGCUGCCGCCACGGCGACGGGAUCGGGCUCGGGGUCCGCGGCGGCGGAGGAGAGGAGGAGGGGGUCGCGGGCGGUGGAGAGGAGGGUGAGGAGGGAGGCGACGGUGAAGAAUAAGGCGACGGUCCGCCUUUUUUUUUCGGCGAGAAAAAAAAAAAAAAGAACGACAGAAACAAAGAGGAGAGAGAAAGAGGAAAGAGAAAAAGUAAUAAGGGUAUUUUGGUCAGUUUGCUGAAAAAGCGGACCGAAUCUGCAGAAACGAAAAAGGUGACCCGGUUUUGCAAAAGCCCAAAAUAAGUGAAUUUUUUAUGCAAAAAGGCCUUAAUACUAUAAAGUAAAUUACCUAUAUAUUUAUAAAUAAAAUAUUAUACAUAAUAUUUUAUUUAUAUAAAAAUAAAAUAUUCUAU